Molecule: ribosomal RNA, 254 nt
Filed under: uncultured bacterium
Lineage: Bacteria
Description: partial 16S ribosomal RNA
Rfam family: Bacterial small subunit ribosomal RNA
Source: RNAcentral
AUGGCCCUACGGGAGGCAGCAGUGAGGAAUAUUGGUCAAUGGCCGGAAGGCUGAACCAGCCACGCCGCGUGAAGGACGAAGGUGCCAAGCAUUGUAAACUUCUUUUGUCAAGGGACAAAAUCAGGCUCGAGAGCCUGACCGAGGGCACUUGAAGAAAAAGCAUCGGCUAACUCCGUGCCAGCAGCCGCGGUAAUACGGAGGAUGCGAGCGUUAUCCGGAUUUAUUGGGUUUAAAGGGUGCGUAGGCGGACUGUU